CACAAGUUCUGGACCUUAAAACACUAGUGGGUGGAACUUAAAAUCAGCCCUAUUUUCUUUGACCUUAAUUGUAGGGAAGAAUCUGUUGAAAUUACAACAGACAAAACAUUAUCAAUUUUUAUCUCUACUUCACAGUGUUUUGAAUAAUCACUUUUCCCUUUAUAAUCCACGUUUUAAGUGUGCAUCAACAUUUUAACACUUAUUGAGAAUAUGCCAUAUUCUAAAAUUUUUGUUAAAUGAAAUUCUUUAAAAAAUCGGUGUCAUGGUAAAGAACUCUAGUAUAUUCUAUAAAGUAUAAUGGCAUCUUGGGCUUAGAGACAUAGGACACUACAAAAUUGACUGCUCCAAAGUAAGGGAUAAAAACGUCUUUUC
This 372-nucleotide long non-coding RNA is filed under the name Bos taurus (domestic cattle). RNAcentral describes it as "long non-coding RNA NONBTAT021829". Lineage: Eukaryota; Metazoa; Chordata; Mammalia; Artiodactyla; Bovidae. The record is from RNAcentral.